This 931-nucleotide unclassified non-coding RNA is filed under the name Hevea brasiliensis (rubber tree). The record is from RNAcentral. Lineage: Eukaryota; Viridiplantae; Streptophyta; Magnoliopsida; Malpighiales; Euphorbiaceae.
CUUGCACAUAACCCAUGGAACUCCAGUAUUCAUAGAAAGAGCCAUCUGUGCAGCCCAAGUCAUAUAUGCAUGACCAGCAGAUCCAAAUGCCUUGUCUUCAGGUUCAUAUUCAUUCUCAAUCUGAGAGAGGAUAAUAGGACCACCUUGAGACUGAAACAAAUUUUCAUCCUUCAUAAUUUGGACAAUUUUCUGGGUGAAAUUUUGCAUUGCCAUCUUGAAAGGCUCAUUAUCUGUCCUGAAGCUUAUGCCUGGAACAUACUUCAACCACACUGGAAACCCUCCAAAAUUCCACUCUCCACAUAUAUAAGGUCCAAUGCGAAGAUGAACAUAGAGACCAGCUUUCUGAACCAACUUGACGAAGCGAACCAAAUCAUACCUUCCCUCGAAAUUGUAAUUGCCAGGAGAAGGCUCAUGAAGAUUCCAAAAAACAUAAGUAUCUAUAAUAUCCAAACCACCAUCUUUAGCCUUCUGUAUGAGUCCUCCCCACAUCUGAGGAGUGCUUCUGGGAUAGUGAAUAGAGCCAGAGAAGAGAAUUCUCCUCUGGCCAUCAAUGAUAAGAGCCUUGUUAUCAUAAGUAACAUCGCAUUGUAUCCCCUGGAAACCUAGAGAUAACAACACCACAAUACACAGAGAAAACCACUUGAUUGCUGCUGAGUUAGCUUCCAUAUUUUCUCUUCAGAUAGACAAGACAAAAAAAAUGAUUAUUAUAAUAUUAGAGAAAAGCAACAAGAAGACAAAGAAGGUAGGUUACAUAUAGUGUAUGCUAAUCCCACGUCAAAACACACUACAUUUCUAGCUCUUACUGUGUCCUGUUAGAAAACAAAUUGUACAUCCGUCUCCAAGCUUUACUUUCAUUUUAUACUCCUAUUAGAAUUCAAACUCAAAACCUUCUAUGCUAAUUGAUCACGUUUAUUGCCCAUAUCAUAAAAAA